GACGAACGCUGGCGGCGUGCUUAUCACAUGCAAGUCGAACGGAAAGGCCCUGCUUUUGUGGGGUGCUCGAGUGGCGAACGGGCGAGUAACACGUGAGUAACCUGCCCUUGACUUUGGGAUAACUUCAGGAAACUGGGGCUAAUACCGGAUAGGAGCUCCUGCUGCAUGGUGGGGGUUGGAAAGUUUCGGCGGUUGGGGAUGGACUCGCGGCUUAUCAGCUUGUUGGUGGGGUAGUGGCUUACCAAGGCUUUGACGGGUAGCCGGCCUGAGAGGGUGACCGGCCACAUUGGGACUGAGAUACGGCCCAGACUCCUACGGGAGGCAGCAGUGGGGAAUAUUGCACAAUGGGCGGAAGCCUGAUGCAGCAACGCCGCGUGCGGGAUGACGGCCUUCGGGUUGUAAACCGCUUUCGCCUGUGACGAAGCGUGAGUGACGGUAAUGGGUAAAGAAGCACCGGCUAACUACGUG
This 468-nucleotide ribosomal RNA is filed under the name uncultured bacterium. RNAcentral describes it as "partial 16S ribosomal RNA". It matches the Rfam family "Bacterial small subunit ribosomal RNA", at positions 28 to 507 of the family's 1533-position model. The record is from RNAcentral.